GACGAACGCUGGCGGCGUGCCUAAUACAUGCAAGUUGAGCGAUGAAGAUUGGUGCUUGCACCAAUUUGAAGAGCAGCGAACGGGUGAGUAACGCGUGGGGAAUCUGCCUUUGAGCGGGGGACAACAUUUGGAAACGAAUGCUAAUACCGCAUAACAACUUUAAACAUAAGUUUUAAGUUUGAAAGAUGCAAUUGCAUCACUCAAAGAUGAUCCCGCGUUGUAUUAGCUAGUUGGUGAGGUAAAGGCUCACCAAGGCGAUGAUACAUAGCCGACCUGAGAGGGUGAUCGGCCACAUUGGGACUGGGACACGGCCCAAACUCCUACGGGAGGCAGCAGUAGGGAAUCUUCGGCAAUGGACGAAAGUCUGACCGAGCAACGCCGCGUGAGUGCAGAAGGUUUUCGGAUCGUAAAACUCUGUUGGUAGAGAAGAACGUUGGUGAGAGUGGAAAGCUCAUCAAGUGACGGUAACUACCCAGAAAGGGACGGCUAACUACGUG
This 497-nucleotide ribosomal RNA is filed under the name uncultured bacterium. RNAcentral describes it as "partial 16S ribosomal RNA". It matches the Rfam family "Bacterial small subunit ribosomal RNA", at positions 28 to 507 of the family's 1533-position model. The record is from RNAcentral.